GAUGAACGCUGGCGGCGUGCUUAACACAUGCAAGUCGAGCGAACGGACGCUGAUCUUGUUUUUUUGACGUUUGCCGCGCACGGGUGUGUCACACGUGUAUACUCUACUUAUCAGUCUGGUAUAACUUCGGGACUCCGGCUCUUACCCCGUAUAAUCUCCUGCACCGAAUUGUUCAAUAGUGAAUGACGGCCUUGCUGUCUCUUAUCGAUGGUUCUCCGCUUCAUUAGCUAGUUGGUACGUUAACGGCUUAUCAAGGCAACGAUGCCUAGCCGAACUGAGGGGGUGGUCGGCCGCACUGGAGCUGAGACACGGACAAGGCGCCUACGGGAGGCAGCAGUAGGGAAUCUUCCGCAAUGGGCGAAAGCCUGGCGGAGCAGCGCCGAGUGAGUGAUGAAGAUCUUCGGAGCGGAAAACUCUGUUAUUAGGGAAGAACAUAUGUGGAAGGAACUGUGCACAGCGUGACGGUACCUAAUCAAAAAGCCACGGCUAACUACGUG
Molecule: ribosomal RNA, 497 nt
Filed under: uncultured bacterium
Lineage: Bacteria
Description: partial 16S ribosomal RNA
Rfam family: Bacterial small subunit ribosomal RNA
Source: RNAcentral